This 87-nucleotide transfer RNA is filed under the name Crocinitomicaceae bacterium. Its description in RNAcentral is "tRNA-Leu". It matches the Rfam family "tRNA". Rfam says of the family: Transfer RNA (tRNA) molecules are approximately 80 nucleotides in length. Their secondary structure includes four short double-helical elements and three loops (D, anti-codon, and T loops). The record is from RNAcentral. RNAcentral also lists the same sequence under 1 other name. Lineage: Bacteria; Pseudomonadati; Bacteroidota; Flavobacteriia; Flavobacteriales; Crocinitomicaceae.
GCCCAGGUGGUGGAAUUGGUAGACACAAGGGACUUAAAAUCCCUCGAAGGCAACUUCGUGCCGGUUCAAGUCCGGCCCUGGGUACCA